Molecule: long non-coding RNA, 190 nt
Organism: Cydia strobilella
Lineage: Eukaryota; Metazoa; Arthropoda; Insecta; Lepidoptera; Tortricidae
Exons: 2
Source: RefSeq, a predicted model, not a curated record
AAAAUUAAAGCGCUUACCUUGUGACAAAUUGUACAAGUCGCCUUUAUCCGGCUGGGCAAGCGAGAAAUGUGCACGUGCUAACGAGCUCCCGCUCACCGAAAGAGAAAGAGACAAGCUCAUGUUUAACAACGAGUAUGACAAAGAUGAAUGGAAUGCGUAAAUUAAUCAAAAAUAACAGAUUUCUUCGUAG